AUGGCUCAGGAUGAACGCUAGCUACAGGCUUAACACAUGCAAGUCGAGGGGCAGCAGGACGAUAGCUUGCUAUGUUGCUGGCGACCGGCGCACGGGUGAGUAACGCGUAUCCAACCUUCCCCUUAGUAGGGCAUAGCCCGGUGAAAAUCGGAUUAAUACCCUAUGUUGUGUCAUGAGGACAUCUGAAUAACACUAAAGAUUUAUCGCUAAGGGAUGGGGAUGGCGUCCGAUUAGGUAGUCGGCGGGGUAACGGCCCACCGAGCCCUCGAUCGGUAGGGGUUCUGAGAGGAAGGUCCCCCACACUGGUACUGAGACACGGACCAGACUCCUACGGGAGGCAGCAGUGAGGAAUAUUGGUCAAUGGGCGUAAGCCUGAACCAGCCAAGUAGCGUGCAGGAUGACGGCCCUAUGGGUUGUAAACUGCUUUUAUACGGGGAUAAAGUGAGGGACGUGUCCCUUAUUGUAGGUACCGUAUGAAUAAGGACCGGCUAAUUCCGUGCCAGCAGCUGC
This 510-nucleotide ribosomal RNA is filed under the name uncultured bacterium. Its description in RNAcentral is "bacterial SSU rRNA". It matches the Rfam family "Bacterial small subunit ribosomal RNA", at positions 19 to 518 of the family's 1533-position model. The record is from RNAcentral.